CGAAUACUUUGUGGCGACCGGCGCACGGGUGCGUAACGCGUAUGCAACCUACCUUUAACAGGGGCAUAACACUGAGAAAUUGGUACUAAUUCCCCAUAACAUUCGAGAAGGCAUCUUCUUGGGUUAAAAACUCCGGUGGUUAAAGAUGGGCAUGCGUUGUAUUAGCUAGUUGGUGAGGUAACGGCUCACCAAGGCAACGAUACAUAGGGGGACUGAGAGGUUAACCCCCCACAUUGGUACUGAGACACGGACCAA
RNAcentral lists this ribosomal RNA (255 nucleotides) under uncultured bacterium. RNAcentral describes it as "partial 16S ribosomal RNA". It matches the Rfam family "Bacterial small subunit ribosomal RNA", at positions 77 to 334 of the family's 1533-position model. The record is from RNAcentral.